Long non-coding RNA from Oreochromis niloticus (Nile tilapia), 2584 nucleotides. RefSeq lists it as uncharacterized. The record is from RefSeq and is a predicted model, not a curated record. The transcript is spliced from 2 exons. NCBI's taxonomy places the organism in Eukaryota, Metazoa, Chordata, Actinopteri, Cichliformes, Cichlidae.
UGCAGAGAUUUUCCAUUAGAAUGCAUUACGCAUCCAGGCAGACCAUGGAAGGGGAUUCAGGCGGACUCCAAAGAAGUAUACCGGGAAUCACUACUUGGCUGUCAGGUCUUCAGCUGACCAUUGCCAUGCCCACGACCGGCUGAAUUUGGUGAAAAUAAAAGGAACACAAAUGCCAGCUGCAGUGGAAGUUCUGGUGGUUUGGUGGUGAGGAGGGAAGCCAGGCACAGUGUAAUCACUGCUCACAUGUCAAUCCAGACUGAUCAGCUCUGUCACUGCUUUUGGAUGGAAACAGUUUUUUCUUCCCUGUGCGGAAAGCAGAAGCGGUCAGCCGCAGCUGCCCUUUUCCUGUCUUUGUUGUUAAAUGACAGAAAUAUUUAGAAUCUAUUUUCCAUUUUAGUUAUGUUUAUUUAAAAAUGGAUCAUCCGAAAUGAAAUUUCUUCUGCUGAAUGAAACUCACGUCCAUCACAGCUUUUUUUUGUUUUGUUUUUUUUAAGGCUCAAACUGAUUUCAAAACAUUUUAAAAUGUAGGACUUGCAGUAUUUUAAAAAUAAAUUAUGCAUGUCAGAGAAAACAGACAUAAAUUUUCAGUGACUAAAACAUGUAUUCCCAGCCGUAACUUCAGAAGAUUUUUUUUAUUUGAUUUUGCUGAGGAGAAACCACAUUUCUUUUUUCAUUUGUUUAACCAAUGUAUCCAUAUGGUACUCAUGUCCAUUUCCAUAAAAGUUAUAAAACCAAGAUGCUUUUGCAAACUCAACUUCAGAGAUUGACACUUAAACCGCACUAUGAUAUGUCUGUACACAGCUAUGGAUAUGUAUCUUGUCUAAUGUGUCUUCUUUUGUACCCAUAUGUGAUCACUAAUAGAAAAUAAAAGUACGGGGAAAAAUGAGCUGCAAUGAUUGCAACUGAGUUCUUAUAUUAGCAUAUAAGUGUCAAUGGACACUUGCAGAUAAGUGUUUCAGUAGAAAUCACUGCAAACCAUUACAUUCCUGGGGACAGUUUAACUGUCAUAAAAAAUAGUUUUAAAGAAAACCAAACAUUGCACAGCAAAGAUUAAUGAUUAAUUCUCACCCGAGAGGUGAUGCUAUAUGAGCCUUUUUAGAACAGAGGCUUCGUAAUUCACAGGUUCUGUCUGCAUUUAGAAAUUCAAGGACAAAGCAAGAAAAGUGAGAGGGAAGACUAAUUAUUGGAGGCAGGUGUGGUAUAAUGUGUCAUAAACAAAUGAGGAAAAAGAGAGUGAUGGAACAAAGGGUACAAAGAUAGAAAUGUCAAACAUUAGCAUGUGCCAAGUCAUCUGUUGUUGUCUUUUGAUGGUUAUGACACUUGUGAUAAUUAACAAAAGCUUAGUGGAAGGCAUUUACAACAAAUCACGCUACCUUGAUUCUUUGACAGUUUUCAUGUGGGUUUAGAACAACUUUUCCCAGAAAACAAGUUUGUCUCAUUCUUUGAAAAGCCUUGGUGGAUUUUCUCUUUUUAAAUUGCCUCCAUUUACUGCGAAGCCACAGUUAGUGCACAGUAGAGCAAGCUUUCACCAUAUCGCUGACAUUUGUUGUUAUGACAUGAAUUUACGCUUUGAAAGCUUCUUUAUUAGGAUCCUUAGAGUCAUACAGUAUACAAGGGAUCUUAGAUGAGAUGAUCUGACCGCUGACCUCCUCUUGAACUUCAGUAGAGAUAACUUUGUUUAGAAGAGAUGGCAGUAGGUUCACUAGAAACCGCUGCAGUCAAUCAGUAUGUUUAGUAAUCUGAUUCGCUGCUGCAGGGAUGAACGAAUGCCCUGCUGCUGAACUGGAGUGCACAUGUCUGACCUGUUAUGCCAAAUAUUUGCUCUACAUUUCAUUUCAACAUUUUCCUAACAAAUGUGAAAUUAUUUUGAAGUCCAAGUCAUAACGAUCAUUGGCAUAUUGACAAUAUGUCUUGUAAGCUAGUGGCUCUCAAACUGUGGGGUGGGCCCUCUUUUGGGGGCACAGGGCCACUGCAGGGUGCUAUUGAUGACCUGGGGUAGUUAUGGAGUAAAACUGAGUUGAAUGAAUAGAACUUUUGUAAGGAAAUUACAAUGUAUCUAUAUUUAACUAAAGUUAACAAUUAUGUUGUGUGGGCCAUAAACUUUUUUCACUGCUGGAAAGGUGUUACGCCAGAACCUGAAGGCAUCACAGUCUGAGGAAAUCCACAAAAAACAAAUUUGAUAUUUAUAUACAGCCUGCUGUAAAUUGAUGUUGUAUCUAGUUGUUGCAUAUGUCUCUCCAUGUUUUAUCUUAAUUAAAACUGUGAUAAGGAAAACAUCAAAUGCUUUAAAAUGUAAAGGAUGACAAAAUAAAAUUCAAGAUUUAUUCAUAUUUAUGUGAUGUUGGUUUAAGUAUUGUUCUGAUUUGACAUUUUUACAUUGUAUAUGAAAAGUUUUUUCUUGCUGUAUUUUUUAUUUCGCAAUUGCAAUAAAAAAAAAGUAAAGGGAUCUCUCAGAAUUAAUUCUGAAACACUUUGCAAAACACUUUCUUAAGAAAUGAAUUGAUUUGCUAUUAACUGGGUGGCCAAGUGAAAGAGGUAAGUGGAAUGCUGCAGCUUUUAUCACCUUCAUUGACAUACCAUAUGA